This is a long non-coding RNA of Sinocyclocheilus rhinocerous, 341 nucleotides long. RefSeq lists it as uncharacterized. The record is from RefSeq and is a predicted model, not a curated record. Lineage: Eukaryota; Metazoa; Chordata; Actinopteri; Cypriniformes; Cyprinidae. The transcript is spliced from 3 exons. The annotation marks the transcript as partial.
GCUUGUUUUGUCUCUUAACCUGCUGACAAACAGUUGUUGCAACAUCCAAGAAGAAUGCUUGCGUCUCCCUGGUUUUCUCCUUCCUCUACAAAAUUGUUCAGGUUUUCUCAGAAUACUUUAAGGAGCUGGAGGAGGAGAGUAUCAGAGAUAACUUUGUCAUAAUCUAUGAGCUGCUGGAUGAACUCAUGGACUUUGGAUACCCGCAAACCACUGACAGCAAGAUCCUCCAGGAAUACAUCACGCAGGAAGGUCACAAGCUGGACACGGGCGCUCCGCGGCCCCCUGCCACGGUCACCAACGCCGUCUCCUGGCGGUCAGAGGGCAUCAAGUACAGGAAGAAC